This 490-nucleotide ribosomal RNA is filed under the name uncultured bacterium. RNAcentral describes it as "partial 16S ribosomal RNA". It matches the Rfam family "Bacterial small subunit ribosomal RNA", at positions 28 to 507 of the family's 1533-position model. The record is from RNAcentral.
GAUGAACGCUAGCUACAGGCUUAACACAUGCAAGUCGCGGGGCAGCAUGGGGGUUGCUUGCAAUCCCCGAUGGCGACCGGCGCACGGGUGAGUAACGCGUAUCCAACCUGCCCUUCACCACGGGAUAACCCGGCGAAAGUCGGACUAAUACCGUAUGUUGUCCAUUGACGGCAUCCGAUUUGGACGAAAGGUUUGGCGGUGAAGGAUGGGGAUGCGUCCGAUUAGCUGGACGGCGGGGUGACGGCCCACCGUGGCGACGAUCGGUAGGGGUGCUGAGAGGAAGGUCCCCCACACUGGAACUGAGACACGGUCCAGACUCCUACGGGAGGCAGCAGUGAGGAAUAUUGGUCAAUGGGCGUAAGCCUGAACCAGCCAAGUAGCGUGCAGGAUGACGGCCCUAUGGGUUGUAAACUGCUUUUAUGCGGGGAUAAAGUGGCCCACGUGUGGGUUUUUGCAGGUACCGCAUGAAUAAGGACCGGCUAAUUCCGUG